AAUCAACGCUGGCGGCGUGCCUAACACAUGCAAGUCGAACGCGAAAGUCCCGAAAGGGAUCAGUAGAGUGGCAAACGGGUGAGUAACACGUGGGUGACCUGCCUUCGAGUGGGGGAUAACGUCCCGAAAGGGACGCUAAUACCGCAUAACAUCCUGCCUUUGAACAGGUGGAGAUCAAAGCUGGGGAUCGCAAGACCUAGCGCUCAAAGAGGGGCCCGCGUCUGAUUAGCUAGUUGGUGGGGUAAUGGCUCACCAAGGCUACGAUCAGUAUCCGGCCUAAGAGGGCGGACGGACACACUGGGACUGAGACACGGCCCAGACUCCUACGGGAGGCAGCAGUGGGGAAUUGUUCGCAAUGGGCGCAAGCCUGACGACGCAACGCCGCGUGGAGGAUGAAGACC
Molecule: ribosomal RNA, 401 nt
Filed under: uncultured bacterium
Lineage: Bacteria
Description: bacterial SSU rRNA
Rfam family: Bacterial small subunit ribosomal RNA
Source: RNAcentral